GGAUGUGAGGGUGAUCUGGCUAUGACAUCUGUCGCCCCAUUGCCCGCCAUCGUGGCUUUGGCUGAUCUGGCUGGUGAGGUGAGUGUCCCCUUCCUCCCUCACAGCUCCUCGUGAAGCUGCACGCUUGGUCCGAAAGGAUGACCUUUCCCAAUAGAGGAGGAUCAUUAUUUGGUCAGGUCAGUGGUAUACCAGUAGCUCCACUCCCCUCCCACAAACUGGAAACAAGAUCUCAGGGUCCAUUUGUAGGAGAAUGUAGGGUCGUCAAGCUUCCAAGACUCCAGAAAUAAGGUGUUUCAUGUGGCAGUCUACCUCUCUUA
This 317-nucleotide small nuclear RNA is filed under the name Vulpes vulpes (red fox). RNAcentral's name for it is "7SK RNA (ENSVVUG00000002815.1)". It matches the Rfam family "7SK RNA". From Rfam's summary of the family: 7SK was discovered as an abundant small nuclear RNA in the mid-70s but a possible function has only recently been suggested. The record is from Rfam by way of RNAcentral. Lineage: Eukaryota; Metazoa; Chordata; Mammalia; Carnivora; Canidae.